This is a long non-coding RNA of Prionailurus viverrinus (fishing cat), 424 nucleotides long. RefSeq lists it as uncharacterized. The record is from RefSeq and is a predicted model, not a curated record. The transcript is spliced from 3 exons. NCBI's taxonomy places the organism in Eukaryota, Metazoa, Chordata, Mammalia, Carnivora, Felidae.
GGCGGGUCGCUCCAGCGCAGUGAGUUUGUGCUGUGGGCCGUUCGCAGCAAGAAGUGCUAGGUACACAUGAGCGCGAAAAGGGUCUACGUGAAGGUCCAAGGCUGAUGUCUCCAGGAGGCUUAGAACUAAUAGGCUCCUAUGAGUCCCAACCUGUGCCUUGGGAUUUGAGGACUUCUUUCCUGAGCUUUACCUCUGACCCAGGGCUGUGAUUCUGCCUCAGAGAUGAACAUUGGCAUAGACGUCACCUUUCUCCAGUGUGCUUGGGCUACACAUGGCAAGAAGAAGAGCUCUGAGUCCAGAAUUCUGCUCCAAGAGGUGACCAAGGAGGGUACUGCAGAAGGAACUUGGGGGCAGAGCCAAGAGCUAAGGAGAGCACUGGCCUGAGGAGCUCCAUCCAGCUAGCAGAAGCAGGGCAUAACCAGAA